This 83-nucleotide transfer RNA is filed under the name Canis lupus familiaris (dog). It matches the Rfam family "tRNA". From Rfam's summary of the family: Transfer RNA (tRNA) molecules are approximately 80 nucleotides in length. Their secondary structure includes four short double-helical elements and three loops (D, anti-codon, and T loops). Lineage: Eukaryota; Metazoa; Chordata; Mammalia; Carnivora; Canidae. RNAcentral also lists the same sequence under 1 other name. The record is from Rfam by way of RNAcentral.
GCCUGGGUGGCUCAGUGGUUGAGCAUCUGCCUCCGGCCCAGAGUGUGAUCUUGGAGUCCCGGGAUCGAGUCCCGGAUGGGGCU